This 453-nucleotide ribosomal RNA is filed under the name uncultured bacterium. RNAcentral describes it as "bacterial SSU rRNA". It matches the Rfam family "Bacterial small subunit ribosomal RNA", at positions 340 to 786 of the family's 1533-position model. The record is from RNAcentral.
UACGGGAGGCAGCAGUGGGGAAUAUUGCACAAUGGGCGCAAGCCUGAUGCAGCCAUGCCGCGUGUAUGAAAAAGGCCUUCGGGUUGUAAAGUACUUUCAGUCGUGAGGAAGGUGUUAAGGUUAAUAACCUUAGCAAUUGACGUUAGCGACAGAAGAAGCGCCGGCUAACUCCGUGCCAGCAGCCGCGGUAAUACGGAGGGUGCGAGCGUUAAUCGGAAUUACUGGGCGUAAAGGGCACGCAGGCGGUUAAUUAAGUUGGAUGUGAAAUCCCCGGGCUUAACCUGGGAAUGGCAUUCAAGACUGGUUAGCUAGAGUCUUGUAGAGGGGGUAGAAUUCCAUGUGUAGCGGUGAAAUGCGUAGAGAUGUGGAGGAAUACCGGUGGCGAAGGCGGCCCCUGGACAAAGACUGACGCUCAUGUGCGAAAGCGUGGGGAGCAAACAGGGAUUAGAUACC